This 3061-nucleotide long non-coding RNA is filed under the name Canis lupus familiaris (dog). Its description in RNAcentral is "lncRNA (ENSCAFG00040023666.1)". Lineage: Eukaryota; Metazoa; Chordata; Mammalia; Carnivora; Canidae. The record is from RNAcentral.
CCCCGCACCUGUCGGUCCCCCACCUCCCGGACCCCCGCGUGGCCCCGCGUCCUCACCUGUCGGUCCCCCAUCUCCCACCUCUGGGACCCCCGCGUGCCCCCGCGCCCUCACCUGUCGGUCCCCCAUCUCCCACCUCCCGGACCCCCCGCGUGCCCCCGCGUCCUCACCUGUCGGUCCCCAUCUCUGGGACCCCCGCGUGCCCCCGCGUCCUCACCUGUCGGUCCCCCAUCUCCCAUCUCUGGGACCCCCGCGUGCCCCCGCGCCCUCACCUGUCGGUCCCCCAUCUCCCACCUCCGGGACCCCCGCGUGCCCCCGCGUCCUCACCUGUCGGUCCCCCAUCUCCCACCUCCGGGACCCCCGCGUGCCCCCGCACCCGCACCUGUCGGUCCCCCAUCUCCGGACCCCCGCGUCCUCACCUGUCGGUCCCCCAUCUCCCACCUCCCGGACCCCCGCGUGCCCCCGCGCCCUCACCUGUCGGUCCCCCACCUCCCACCUCCGGGACCCCCGCGCCCGGUCCCCCCGCGGCCGCCCCUCCCGAGCUCACCGUGCGCCCCGCGCUGCCCGCGCUCCCCGCGCCCCCCCGGCCCGGCGGGCUGCAGCCGCAGUGAGCUCACAGCCGCAUCGCGGCGACACGGGGAGGCGCGCGGCCGGUCGUCGCCGGCGCCGGGUCCAGGCCGAGGGCGGCUGCCCCUCCGCUCGGCAUUGAGGAGGCGGGAGGAGGGGCGCGGCGAGGCGCACGGGAAAUCUGAUAGAGCAAUGAAAGUCCCUGAAAAAUGGAUGACACUCUGGUCCGUGAAGCCCAGAGUUUGUUUGGCCCAGGACAUUCGAGAAGUGUUGGAAACUGGCAUGCCGUGUGGUGCAGCGGGCCACAGGGAUGACGGGACUCUAGCAAAGAGGCUCAGACAGCCUACCUCUAACACCGGAUCCAGAAUCAUCUUCACACGGAAAGGAGGGACUGCAUCUCUCUCUCCCCAGAACCAGGAGUACAUCCUUUUUGCAGCACUCCCCGACCUCUCUUGCCCUGAUGCAGCCAGGGAAGGAUGGCCUUCUCACAUGCCUCCUCCGAGAAAAACUCAAAGUCAUUGGUUUUAUGUCCCUGAACCUCGAGUGUGGUGAGCGGGUUCUCCAGAACCAGCAAGGCCAGGACCCUGGUGUCCAGUCCAUAUAGGACCUGCCCCAAGAGCUCUUGAAAACACUGGAGACAAGAUUGUUUUUUGUUUUUUGUUGUUGUUGUUGUUGUUGUUUGGGGGUUUUUUUUAUUGUUUUGUUUUUGUUUUUGUUUUUGACAAGAAUGUUUUUAACUGGGCCUCCUCUGCCAUCACCCGGAGCUCACACCUCAGGUUACCUGCCUCUGUUGGAUUCAAAUUGAUCCAAAUUAAAAUCCCUGCUACAAAUUCCUCCUGGCUUUGCCAUCUCAGUCAGUCAUUGCCCCAAACCUACGGGGCAUUAUGAAUAAACAUUGUAAAAAUGGAAAGUGGUGGUUGCAAACUAGAUUUCUUUAUUCAUUCCUUUGUUCAACACGGAUCUAUGGGGCGUUACUGUAUGUCAGGCACAGUGCUAGACACUAAAAUAGAAACAAAUGGUGCAUCCUGGUGCAUCCUUCAGGAAGAAAUGGUCCCAGCCCAUGGAGGGUUCACAGUGUAACAAGGGAAAGAAGCGUGUGGGUCACAAUUCUCAAGAGCACGAUGAGUGUCAGGAAGGAAGUAGCCUGAGGGAACACUCCCAACACCACCAAAUCCAGUUUCUAAACCAGGUUGUCUCACCUCCCGGCCAGCAAAGCAAACUGCAGGCAGAGGCAGCCAUUUGGGCAGUCGGUCAGGAAAUGUCAGCUCCCCUUCUCCAGAGGAGGUUCCAGAACCUUCCAUCCCAUUUUGUUUGCUGUCCACAUGCCCACACUUGCAUCCUCCUUUUGAAUCUUCUGGACAGCAAUGCCUUCCCGCCUCCUCUCGGACUCUUCUGUGCAGCUCCUGGCUCAGCUGUCGCAUGUACCCCCAUGUCUCCAGUUACCAGCCACUCUUGGCGUCAGGGUGCCCCACGCCCACCAGCUCAGGGCCCAGCUGAGCCAGCCAUGUACCCACUGUCUACCAGCCUCCAGGGUUUCAGAUGAGAACACCGGAGUCAUCCUGAUAUUUGUUCCCAGAUAUGCGAAGUUUCCUUUCUCUGUGGAUGCUUUCAAGGUUUCUUCUUUUUCUUUGGUUUUUAGCAAUUUGUUUUUCCCUGUUUGGAUAUGCUUUUCUUUAGUUUCAUCCUCUUGGGGGUUUGCUGAGUGUCUUGACUCUAUAUAGUCAUAUCUUACUAAAUUUGAGAAGUCUGGGGUCACUGUUUGUGUCUCUCUUCAAGUUCUCUCACUUUUUCCUGUGUCAUCUGUGAGCUCCAUUCCACUAUGGGGUCUGUCUAGCAAUGUUGCCAUUAUCAGAAAGUUGCAUUUUUCACCUCUAAAUUUUAUGUGUUACCUAUCUACUCUGCAUUUCUCUGCUGAGAAAUUCUAACUUUCCAUUUACUUCAAGAUUGUUUCACAGAGUCCGGUUGCAUGUGAUCAUUCCAACAUUUCAGUAAUCUUGGGGUUAGCAUCUCUUGACUGUGUAUUUCCCGUGAGGAUUGGUUGCAUUUUUCGGUUCUUUGUAUGUUCGGUUAACAUGCAUUAUAUUCCGGACAGUUUAAAUAUUGUGGGAUUCUGGGUUAUGUUAAAAUCUUCCAGGGUUAAUGUUUUUUCAUUAUUUUUUAAAGAUUCUAUUUUUUUUAUUUGACAGAGAGAGUGCACAAGCAGGGGGAGUGGUAGGCAGAGGGAGAGGGAGAAGCAGCCUCCCCUUUGAUCAGGGACCCCAAAGUGGGGCUCGAUCCCAGGACCCUGGGAUCAUGACCUGAGCCAAAGGCAGACACUUAACUGACUGAGCCACCCAGGUGCCCCUUCAUUAUUAUUAUCUUAGCAGUCAACCAACCUGGUUAAGUUUAGACCAUGAGUUUUGUUUUACCCUCUAUGGCCAUGCUUCAAUGUCUAUUCAGUUUUCAAAGUCAGAAUUAUCUCUACAUUCUCCAGCUCCUGAUGACCCCCCUUUCUUGU